This 253-nucleotide ribosomal RNA is filed under the name uncultured bacterium. RNAcentral's name for it is "partial 16S ribosomal RNA". It matches the Rfam family "Bacterial small subunit ribosomal RNA", at positions 524 to 776 of the family's 1533-position model. The record is from RNAcentral.
GACAGAGGUGCCAAGCGUUAGGCGGAAUCACUGGGCUUAAAGCGUGUGUAGGCGGAUUCCUAAGUACCUUGUGAAAUCCCAAGGCUCAACCGUGGAACUGCUCGGUAUACUGGGUAUCUUGAGCCACUUAGGGGCGACCGGAACAAAUGGUGGAGCGGUGAAAUGCGCAGAUAUCGUUUGGAACGCCGAUGGUGAAAACAGGUCGCUGGGGCUGUGCUGACGCUGAGACACGAAAGCCAGGGGAGUGAACGGG